This 466-nucleotide ribosomal RNA is filed under the name uncultured bacterium. RNAcentral describes it as "partial 16S ribosomal RNA". It matches the Rfam family "Bacterial small subunit ribosomal RNA", at positions 28 to 507 of the family's 1533-position model. The record is from RNAcentral.
GAUGAACGCUGGCGGCGUGCUUAACACAUGCAAGUCGAACGAUGAAGCCCAGCUUGCUGGGUGGUUUAGUGGCGAACGGGUGAGUAACACGUGAGUAACCUGCCCUUAACUCUGGGAUAAGCCUGGGAAACUGGGUCUAAUACCGGAUAGGAGCGUCCACCGCAUGGUGGGUGUUGGAAAGAUUUAUCGGUUUUGGAUGGACUCGCGGCCUAUCCGCUUGUUGGUGAGGGAAUGGCUCACCAAGGCGACGACGGGUAGCCGGCCCGGGAGGGGGAACGGCCACCAUAGGACUAAGGCACGGCCCAGAAUCCAACCGGAGGCAACGGGGGAAAGUAUUACACAGAGGGCCCAAGGCUGAUGCAACGGCCCCCGGUUCGGGAAACCCGGCUUCGGGUUUUGAACCUAUUUCCGUUGGAAAGGAACCAAAUUGACGGUACCUGCAAAAAAAGCCCCGGCUAACUACGUG